Molecule: long non-coding RNA, 1410 nt
Organism: Mytilus trossulus (common blue mussel)
Lineage: Eukaryota; Metazoa; Mollusca; Bivalvia; Mytilida; Mytilidae
Exons: 3
Source: RefSeq, a predicted model, not a curated record
GUUUUCGAUCCGAAACAAUCUAAAAGCUAGAAAUAAAUCGAACAAAAAAUGACUGAGACCUUGUCUCAACCAUAAGACGGGUUACCAGAAAAACGAUAAUCCAAUCAAACGGUGGUGCUUAUAGUGGUUUUCAUCACGUUUUGAUAUAUAUAUUAUCACUCGUUUUGACAGAAAAAUGAACUUCUGUUGUAUAUUUGUAUACAUAAUUGAACAUUUUGAUAAGAUUUAAGAAAAGUACAUAACUUUGUGGUGUUGGGAAACUUAUUUCCCUCACCAGGAGAUUGUUGCAUACAUGUACGGGUGAUCACUUCCAGACAGAGGUAGUUACAAUAUCUGUACGGGAAUGAGGAUUAUUUAUAAGACUGAAAUUAUUGUAUUAUUUGCUGGAAAUGUGGAAUAUGAGGAAUUUAAAACCAUUCGUGAGUAGUUUUUGAUGAUUCAGCUGGACAAAUGCCGGAAAUUAUACAGUUUUCUCCCACCUUAAAACAGCUACAUGGUAUAUCAUGGACACCAAAAGCAAACUAUAAAGAUCUAAAUGCCAUAAUUUUGUGCAUCUUGAAAACUGGAAAGGCUGAUCACUUUGAAGCAGAUGAUAGUGAUAGUGUUUAAAAGAAUUCUUUGCGACAGUUAUACCAGUUGGAACAGAUAAAAGAUACAUCAGAUGACAGACUUACAUAUAGAGGAGCCUAUAAUUAGAGAAAUGGAUCAACUUGAUUUUGAAGUUAACCUACUGCAUUAAUAUGAAAAUUCAUAAGUGACUGAGCAUAAAGAAAAUCACACAUGAAACUAUAACCAGUUUGGGAGACUCAUACAACAGAACAUUUCAAUACCUAUUAAGUUUUUUUUAUGUAUAUGUUUGACUUUUGGUAAUAUUUUGGAAGUUACUUUAAAAUGUUGAAAAUGACAAUUUUGAUAGAGGACAAUUUUAAGAAUAUCAACUUAGUUGUUUAUGAAUCUUUAUCUUUUAAAAUAUUACUGGGUGUCUGAAAGAAUAUUUCAAAAUUUUCUGAAACUAUUUAGAUAUUUAUCAUGUUUCAUGUGUUUAUAUAGGCAAAUAUUUAUACAUGUCAUUUAUGUUAUGCAAGGGUUUAUAUGAAUUUCUAAAAGAUGUAUAUAUAUGUGUUGAUAAAAUAAGUUCCAAAUUAUUACAGAGUUACAGAAAAAAGGAUAUAUUUAUAUUAAAACAAAUCUGUUAAAAGGGAAUGAAAAGUCAAAAAUUGUAUUUUUUAAAAUAAUUGUGUUAACAUUUUUGUGCUAUUUAGAAAUAUGUACACAAAAAAAACAACUUUAAUAUAAGUAUCAAUGUAGUAUGCCCUUGUUAUUUUUUGUUUUGUGCAGUACAUGCAUUUGAAUCUUGAUCAAAAUUUAUGGAUUGAAUUACUAAACAGAAUAAACUAAUUGUUAUGUUAA